UAAUAUCAAGGUGAGAUGGAUUAUGUAAUAAUAAUCUAAGUACAGAAAACGCAAUAUUUCGCAUGCAGACUUAAUUAGAGAACGUUAGGAAUAUUAAGCGUUAAGAAGAGAUUAUAUUGAUCGUAUGAUACGUAAGUAUUGUACGAGGUAUUGAAUAGAAGUAUAAUAUAAAGUAUUAUAUGAGUAUGUAUGUAGAAUAGAAUUACUUAUAUUACGAAUGAAUAUACGAACUAGAAUACAAGGAUUAUACGUAUAGUAUAUGUAAUAAGGGUUUUAGCCAAUUAAGUGGGACUUGUAGGAUUAUUAGCAUAUUGGUAGAAUCCAACAAGAAUUAAGGUGCAAGCCCAAGUGAUUAUUAAUGCAAGCCCAGAAUGAAUAAGCUAAGUUAAUUAACUUAAGCCUAAUGUAAUAAUCCAAUGGGUUAAACAUGAUCCAUAGAGCAACCAAGGGUGAUGUGGGUUAAACUUGGUGACCAAGUACUUUAUGUGAUGGCCAAGAAUAGGAUAUAUUUUGUGAUGGCCAAGUAAUAUGAGUGAUUAGCAAGUUUACUUAAUUGUUAAGCAAAUGAAUAGUAAGGAUGUUAGUUAAGGAGGUGGGGUGAUUAAUGAUCGUAAUGCCCUAACUUUGCCAAGUCUAUAAAUAGCAAAUUAGAUUUUAUUAUUUUGCUUAUUCUUUUUCCUCCAAACUUCUAACAAGUUAAGUAACUUAAGUGUUAGAGAGAAUAAGCACAUAUAAGUCAAACAUCCUUUGCUAGAUUUCCGAGAAGAAGAGAAGUACUAGUUCUUCAAGGGUAAGACUCUUGUCUAAUAAUUUUCCAUCUUUAUCAUUGUAAGGUGAUAAGAGAAGGGUAACUUAAUAGGUGUGGCGACCCCAAAUCCAGGUACUUGAAACCCGAACUCGGUUCUCCACGAUACCAUUUCUUUAAGCUGAAUAAUACUAAAUAAUAAUACAUUCGAACUUAAUUUACAUACAUCAAAGUUUACUUCCCCAAGUACGUGACCUUCAAAAUACGUUCCUUACAAUACCUGACAAUAGAUUCCAUUGUCUUACUAACUAUAACCAUUAACUCAUACUAAAUCUCAUUUGAACAGCUUUUCUUUUCCCUUUUCGUGCCUGAGCCUUCAGGUCGAUCGUACG
Molecule: long non-coding RNA, 1137 nt
Filed under: Panax ginseng (ginseng)
Lineage: Eukaryota; Viridiplantae; Streptophyta; Magnoliopsida; Apiales; Araliaceae
Description: long non-coding RNA (PGIN_LNC009176)
Source: RNAcentral